AAAAUUUUCUGUGGAACUCCUUAAAAUCCUCAAAAGAAAGGCUAGGAAUCACUCGUGGGUCACCACCACUGUCAACACCAUAGGUAUUAUCAGGAAAAAGCGCCUGCUGGGAAGUUCGUCCCAGUAGAUUAUCAGGCUGAGAAUAAACUCCCUUCAUCUCAUUGAACACAACCCCUUUAAAAGUAAUUUCAUCUGAGGGGUCAUUCAGUUCAUAAUGCCAACCCUCUUGUUGAAAUGUUUGGAAAUCCUCCACACAUUUAGGGAAAAA
RNAcentral lists this unclassified non-coding RNA (268 nucleotides) under Hevea brasiliensis (rubber tree). The record is from RNAcentral. Lineage: Eukaryota; Viridiplantae; Streptophyta; Magnoliopsida; Malpighiales; Euphorbiaceae.